RNAcentral lists this ribosomal RNA (416 nucleotides) under Culex pipiens pallens (northern house mosquito). RNAcentral describes it as "SSU rRNA". It matches the Rfam family "Eukaryotic small subunit ribosomal RNA", at positions 1 to 416 of the family's 1831-position model. Lineage: Eukaryota; Metazoa; Arthropoda; Insecta; Diptera; Culicidae. The record is from RNAcentral.
GAAUUCUGGUUGAUCCUACCAGUAAUAUACGCUUGUCUCAAAGGUUAAGCCAUGCAUGUCUAAGUACAAACAGUUUUAAUGUGAAACCGCAUAAGGCUCAGUAUAACAGCUAUAAUUUACAAGAUCAUUUACCUAGUUACUUGGAUAACUGUGGAAAAUCUAGAGCUAAUACAUGCAAAAUGCAGGGACCUCGCGGAACCUGUGCAAUUAUUAGUCAAACCAAUCGUCCUCCGUGACGCUUGAGUUGAAAUCUGGAUAAUUUUGUUGAUCGCAUGGUCUCGCACCGGCGACAGAUCUUUCAAAUAUCUGCCCUAUCAACUAUUGAUGGUAGUAUAGAGGACUACCAUGGUUGCAACGGGUAACGGGGAAUCAGGGUUCGAUUCCGGAGAGGGAGCCUGAGAAAUGGCUACCACAUC